Molecule: non-coding RNA, 1035 nt
Organism: Doryrhamphus excisus (bluestripe pipefish)
Lineage: Eukaryota; Metazoa; Chordata; Actinopteri; Syngnathiformes; Syngnathidae
Source: RefSeq, a predicted model, not a curated record
GGAGGUGAUGAUGAAACUCCUCACCAAUGGAUGAGGCUGGAGUGCAAUUUUAAUGCCAUAAAAACGACCGCGAGGUGGAUCGGCAUUGAAAACCAUUCAUCGCCAAAAUGUGAUUUUUUUUUUCUCACAGGAAUUUGUCAAUAUUGAACAUUUCAAAUCGAUGGUAGCAUCCCUAGUUUAUACUACAUUGUACUAUAGUUUAUUGUUAGUACUAGUGAGCCUCAUAAAACAACAACAAGAAGAAGAAAAUCAUUUACCUUAGUGUUAAAGUGUAUUCUCCUUUGACCUUGGUAGAAGCAUCCCGGACUAAGAAUGUACCAUCGGGUGUGUUCCUCAUCAUCCUGUUCACUUCGUCUCUGGUCAAAUACAACAAUGAGUUUUCCAUUAAUUCAGCAACCAGAGGAAAACAAUGAAUUAAAAAUUAAAAAAAAGUUUGAUAACUGCAUUCAUGAUUUAGUUACCGAAUAUGUAGUACUAAACGAAGAACACACUUUUAUAAAUGAUCUUUACAUUGCAGCAUGUUACAUGUUCAUUUUUUCAUACAUGUUCUCUGCACCUUGAGAUGUUGCCCCAGUACCACUCUGCAUCAACCAGCUGUUUUUGCUCGUUGCAGGAAUCACAUGCUGCCAUCGCCGUAGUGAAGAUAUCCUUGGGUUGGAUCUCUGCCGCCACAGAAGUAAAGGGUGACGUCAUGGAGGGUCACUCUGCAGGCCAGGACUUGUGGGUGCUGGUCGGGCUCCUCUGGGCCUUGGGACUACCCUGGAACACAUUGUGUGAUAAAAGUACAAAAACGUCAUUGUAAAGCUGCAAAGCUAGCAGCCGGGCUGUUCCAGGAGGAGUUUGACAAUCUCGGCGCGGCCGUGCUCGCUGGCGCACAUCAACGCCGUGGAGCCUUCGUCAUCCUGCACGUCGACGUCGGCGCCGCACUCCAGAAGCGCCUCCACCAUCUCCUGACGUCCGUGACUCACGGCGAGCAUCAGCGCCGUCUGGCCUGCCUGUAACGGUAACAAAUUGGAAUAUUAUGGAAUUGGAAUA